Long non-coding RNA from Cynoglossus semilaevis (tongue sole), 1201 nucleotides. RefSeq lists it as uncharacterized. The record is from RefSeq and is a predicted model, not a curated record. The transcript is spliced from 6 exons. NCBI's taxonomy places the organism in Eukaryota, Metazoa, Chordata, Actinopteri, Pleuronectiformes, Cynoglossidae.
GUUUAAUUUAGUCUCUUAAUUUUAAAAUUAAAAUAAUUUCUAAAUUAAAUACCGUCACCUUAACUAUGUAAUAGUUAAGGUGACCAAAGCGACAGGCGCGAAUCGAGCAGCAUAAUCAAUGUAAAUAGCACGACAAUUUUAUUUAAUUUUAAUAUCCGGGGCGCGAUUCUGAAUGUCGCACCGCGGCAUCCAAUCAGCGACGAGAUAAUCACGACGUCACCUUACUAAACUAAGCAGAAAAGUUUGUAGAUAAUGGCGGACAAUGUUUUCAUCGCCGUGUGUGGGCACCAACAACGCCGCUACGAUUUAUCGGGACCGGAAUAAGAAGAAGAGACAUGGGCUAAAGUUAGCCAGGAAGUGGGACUCUCUGGUGAAUUGUUAACCUUUCCGUGACUUGUUUUACUACUGUCAGCCGGCCGGUGGAGACGGUGAACUUCAUCCGUAGCUCGGUGCUACUCCGGACGACGUCAUGAACCCAGACACGGCGGCGGGUGGUUUUCCCGCCCUUCUGCUACAGCAGGUUCCGUCUGCGAUGCAGGAGGUUCAUCUCCGUUCACCGCCGUCAUAUUUAAUGUGGCUUUCCAAGAACGAACAGCAGGAAAGACGACUAAUCAGGAACUGAAGUAUCCUUCAGUGCACUCACACAAGAUUGACCUGACGACCACGUUUGGACUAGUCAACACCUGGGGUGGAGACGUGUGGAGGAGACUUCAAUUUCUAUGGUCGUACAGCGUUCGUUCUCCAGGUUGUAGGUGAAGACCAGUGAAGGUCAGGUGACCUACACCUGUCAGUGACUGUGAACACAUCGUAUGAAGUCGAUGUCUACGACAGCUGAGCCUCACCAACCCCAAAGGUCCACUCUGUACUCUGACGUAUGGAUGAACCACACUUUCAUUUCUUUUCCCCAGAAAUAGUACAAAGAUCCCUUCGUGACUUCAGCUGCGUGUGGUUCUGUUCUGCUCAUGAGUGACCAAGUGUUAACCAGGAGACGGUGACAGGCCCACGGAGGAGGUGCAGGAAGAGGAGAUGGGAAGAUUCCAGCUCUGUCCUCCAGUCCACCCACUGCCUGAAGAAAUAAAGGAGAUGGAGCGAAGCGAGACGUUGUGUCGUUACUGCGGGGUGAGCUACCUGGUCUACCACGAGUUUCAUCAGCUCAACACCCGACUGUCCCAGCUGCAGGCUGAGCUCCAGGACGUGAGAG